ACAGCUUCCCUGAAAUUUGCUUUUCUUGCUUUGCCUAACUUGGAUGAGGCUGUUAUUCUGAAACAAGGUUAAUGUCUUCCACUCACUGUCUUUAUUAUUAAUUGAUCACUAUUUUCUCCUUGGCUCAGCUUCUCAGAGCACAUGGAGUAAUUUUUAAUACCCUCCAGCACUCUUGAUAUGUGAUAUCUUCAGUUGAUGCGAGAUUUGUUUGGAGCUUCCCUAGAGAAAUAUGAGGAAACUAUGAUAUUUUAAUAUGUGCAUGGAAUAAAAUUUGAUUCCUAUUUUCAUGUAUGUCUGCAAAAUAUCAUCAGAAUGAGGAAAUAUCAGGCUUAUUUUUGAGGCAUUGGGGUACUGAUUUGAUUUGACUGGAACUUGGAAUCACUUGGAAAUUGUGGGUGAGAAGAAGAAAGACCAAUGAAGAAGGAACCAUCCAGGCCAGGAUAGAGGUCAAAGAGGAGAAAAGUGACAGAAAGAAAGUCACCAAUUUUCCCUUGACUUUGGACAGCUCUGCUUCCCUCUGAUGAAGCCCAGUUGUGCAAUUUUCUUUCCCUCAAUUAAAGGGAAAAAAUACAGAGUACUGAAAGGCCAA
This is a non-coding RNA of Heterocephalus glaber (naked mole-rat), 589 nucleotides long. The record is from RefSeq and is a predicted model, not a curated record. Lineage: Eukaryota; Metazoa; Chordata; Mammalia; Rodentia; Bathyergidae.